CCUACGGGAGGCAGCAGUGGGGAAUAUUGGACAAUGGGGGCAACCCUGAUCCAGCCAUGCCGCGUGUGUGAAGAAGGCCCUCGGGUUGUAUAGCACUUUCAGUGAGGAAGAACGCCUGGUGGUUAAUACCCAUCAGGAAAGACAUCACUCACAGAAGAAGCACCGGCUAACUCCGUGCCAGCAGCCGCGGUAAUACGGAGGGUGCGAGCGUUAAUCGGAAUUACUGGGCGUAAAGCGCGCGUAGGUGGCUUGAUAAGCCGGUUGUGAAAGCCCCGGGCUCAACCUGGGAACGGCAUCCGGAACUGUCAAGCUAGAGUGCAGGAGAGGAAGGUAGAAUUCCCGGUGUAGCGGUGAAAUGCGUAGAGAUCGGGAGGAAUACCAGUGGCGAAGGCGGCCUUCUGGACUGACACUGACACUGAGGUGCGAAAGCGUGGGUAGCAAACAGGUUUAGAUACCCUUGUAGUC
RNAcentral lists this ribosomal RNA (465 nucleotides) under Vreelandella stevensii. Its description in RNAcentral is "partial 16S ribosomal RNA". It matches the Rfam family "Bacterial small subunit ribosomal RNA", at positions 338 to 795 of the family's 1533-position model. The record is from RNAcentral. Lineage: Bacteria; Pseudomonadati; Pseudomonadota; Gammaproteobacteria; Oceanospirillales; Halomonadaceae.